GCGAGGUCCAGGGGCAUCGCCAGGAACAGCUACCCUGCUGUUCGCCUCCUCGCCGGCGGCUCCUCCCUCGCGGCAGCGCCCAGUACGUCGAGACGGCGUGGCCCCAUGAGCUGCUACUCUGUCGUUCCCCUCCCCCUCCUCGCCGGCGGCUCCUCCCUCGCUACAGCGCCCAGUACGGCGAGACGCCGGGGCUGCAUGGGCACCGCCAGGUCAACGGCUAAUACGGCGAAGCAGCCAGGGCCGGUCCUAAGAUUUCGGGGCCCGCGGCGAAAGUUUAAUUCGAGGCCCCUUAAUACAAAUACUAAAAGGGGAGUGCUACGCAUCCAUCGGUAGAUGUAUAAUAAACAUCCACCGUCAUGAUAACCGCUGGAUCUCCGCGCGCGCAGUCGUCCGCAGCCAUCCGAUCUAAGUCCUCACACGUGACUCGGUCAUCUUCCUCAACACAUUAAUUCCUGAAACAACAAAUCAGUUGCGGAAACAAUCGCUCUGUUUCGGCCUCGAUAGAGCUGCAGACGGCUAUAGAUUUUUUUUCUGUCAUAAAGAUUUAAUACGGGGUGAUCAACAGAAUGAGCGG
This 574-nucleotide long non-coding RNA is filed under the name Hordeum vulgare. RNAcentral's name for it is "long non-coding RNA (HVUL_LNC010441)". Lineage: Eukaryota; Viridiplantae; Streptophyta; Magnoliopsida; Poales; Poaceae. The record is from RNAcentral.